AAUUUUGGACAAUGGGCGCAAGCCUGAUCCAGCCAUGCCGCGUGUGUGAAGAAGGCCCCCGGGCUGUAAAGCACUUUCAGUGAGGAAGAACGCCUGGCGGUUAAUACCCGCCAGGGAAGACAUCACUCACAGAAGAAGCACCGGCUAACUCAGUGCACGCAGCCGCGGUAAGACGGCGGGUGCGAGCGUUAAUCGGAAUUAUCGGGCGUAAAGCGCGCGUAGGUAGCUUGAUCAGCCGGUUGUGAAAGCCCCGGGCUCAACCUGGGAACGGCAUCCGGAACUGUCAGGCUAGAGUGCAGGAGAGGAAGGUAGAAUUCCCGGUGUAGCGGUGAAAUGCGUAGAGAUCGGGAGGAAUACCAGUGGCGAAGGCGGCCUUCUGGACUGACACUGACACUGAGGUGCGAAAGCGUGGGUAGCAAAC
This 421-nucleotide ribosomal RNA is filed under the name uncultured bacterium. RNAcentral's name for it is "partial 16S ribosomal RNA". It matches the Rfam family "Bacterial small subunit ribosomal RNA", at positions 360 to 773 of the family's 1533-position model. The record is from RNAcentral.